UAUGGAGAGUUUGAUCCUGGCUCAGGACGAACGCUGGCGGCGUGCUUUACACAUGCAAGUCGAGCGAUGAGAUCCCUCCGGGGAUGGAUUAGCGGCGAACGGGUGAGGAACACGUGAGGAAUCUACCUUCAACACUGGGAUAACUCCGGGAAACCGGGGCUAAUACCGGAUACGAGAUCGGCAGGCAUCUGCUGCUCUGGAAAGUUUUUCGGUUGAAGAUGACCUCGCGGCCUAUCAGCUUGUUGGUGAGGUAAUGGCUCACCAAGGCGACGACGGGUAGCCGGCCUGAGAGGGCGACCGGCCACACUGGGACUGAGACACGGCCCAGACUCCUACGGGAGGCAGCAGUGGGGAAUAUUGGGCAAUGGAGGAAACUCUGACCCAGCGACGCCGCGUGCGGGAUGAAGGCCUUCGGGUU
RNAcentral lists this ribosomal RNA (418 nucleotides) under Candidatus Planktophila sp. RNAcentral's name for it is "bacterial SSU rRNA". It matches the Rfam family "Bacterial small subunit ribosomal RNA", at positions 1 to 424 of the family's 1533-position model. Lineage: Bacteria; Bacillati; Actinomycetota; Actinomycetes; Candidatus Nanopelagicales; Candidatus Nanopelagicaceae. The record is from RNAcentral.